RNAcentral lists this transfer RNA (74 nucleotides) under bacterium. RNAcentral's name for it is "tRNA-Ala". It matches the Rfam family "tRNA". From Rfam's summary of the family: Transfer RNA (tRNA) molecules are approximately 80 nucleotides in length. Their secondary structure includes four short double-helical elements and three loops (D, anti-codon, and T loops). The record is from RNAcentral.
GGGCCUAUGGCACAACUGGCUAGCGCGCCUCGUUUGCAACGAGGAGGUUGAGGGUUCGAAUCCCUCUAGGUCCA